This 124-nucleotide small RNA is filed under the name Marmota monax (woodchuck). The record is from RNAcentral. Lineage: Eukaryota; Metazoa; Chordata; Mammalia; Rodentia; Sciuridae.
GCCAGGUGCAGUGGGGCACACCUGUAAUCCCAGCUACUCAGGAGGCUGAGGCAGGAGGAUCGCGAGUUCAAAGCCAGCUUCAGCAAAAGCGAUGUGCUAAGCAACUCAGUGAGACCUGUCUCUA